Onychostruthus taczanowskii (white-rumped snowfinch) is the source of this 1906-nucleotide long non-coding RNA. RefSeq lists it as uncharacterized. The transcript has 2 exons. Lineage: Eukaryota; Metazoa; Chordata; Aves; Passeriformes; Passeridae. The record is from RefSeq and is a predicted model, not a curated record.
UGCGCCGGGAACGGGGAGCAGCCGGGGGGCUUGGGGCUGGCUGGGUGGGUGGGUUUUGCUGCCUUCGCCCCCCCUUGGUUUUCAGCCCUGCUAGGCGAGCUCCCCUAGCCAGCCGCGUUACUCGGCGCGGGGAGGGAAGGGAACAGUGUGGAAAGUGGCUGUUCUCCGCUUUGUUUUAAGCGCUCCGGCGGCGGCGUCUCCCGGGCGGUGAAACGCAGAACGAGCGGCCCCGCCGUGCUGUUUCCUCCUCGGGGAGAGCUUGAAACGAGAGGGAGAGAGAGAGAGAGCGAGAGGGGAGAGCGAUCGGUGGUGACUCGGGGGCUGGCCGGGCUGCUGCUGGGGCUCGGCGGCCGCAGACGGUGGAUUUGUGGGAAGAGGACGGGAUGAGGAAUAAACGCACCUGGCCGGCGGUGUUUAGGGGAGCGGGGGCCGGGUGCCCCCGCUGGCUGCCGGAGCCCCUGGACUCCGGACGCGGACCGCCGAGCUGCAAUGGACGCUGCCCGCCGCUGGCCGCAGAGCGGAGCACACCCGCCGCCGCCGAGGAGCGAGAGCUGCCCGCCCGGAGCCGGCCCGCAGCGCGCCCCUCGCCCGAAGAGGGAGCGGGAGUUUCCUCCCCGGCAUCGCUCCGGUGACCGCGGGCUGUGCCAGCCGGCCGCCCAGAUAGGCUGCGAGGCAGCCACGGCGCGAGCGACUAGAACUCCUUGGAUGCGUCGGAAGUAAGCGCUGGGAGCAUUUUGUGAUCUUUGUGGGAGGAAGGCACAAGCCACCCAGGCCCCGUUCCCUCCAUCUUGAGCCUUCUGUGGUGAUUUGCAGCAGCAGCACAGGGAAGUAUGAAGCACUGAGGGGCAGAAGUCAGUAUUUAAACCUGACUUCACUUCAGCAUUAACGACCACGCAAGUUUCACAUAACAGGAGGACCAGGGGUAGAAUAGCAGAAGUACUUAAGGUGCCUCAUUUAAAAGUUCUCUUCUGCAUUUCUGAAGAUUAGGGAGCUGUUCAGAAAAGAUGAUUAUACAAGUGUUUUUAUUUACUGUCCUAACAGAAGAUGAUGAUCCACAUUACCUUACAUGCAUCCUGUACCACCAUAUAGAUUUCAGGGGACCUGUAUGGAUGUAAGUUAGUAAAGAAACCCAGUGAAGUUUUAAAUAAUCAGAAUAAUAUUCUCCCUCUCUUUCAGUCAGAUUUGCCCUUCAUGUUACUUGUGUUUCAUAAUCCUCCUAGCUCUCCAUUUCGUCAUUACAAGACCAGCAUCUCUACUGUAGAAAAAAAAAAAAAAAAACAAAAAAAACAGAAAGAGAGAGGAUUGAUCACCUCCCCCCCCACCCCCCAGAAAAAAAAAGUCUUUUUACAAACUGCUUUUUAUAUCAAUGUUUAAAUCAAUUUAGGGCACAAAGUGAUCCUGGUUUUUAAUAGGCCUUUUUAGUUUCGUUUACUUACACAGGUAUUUUUUUGGAACCAGAAGCUCUCAGAAAGAGAAUGUGUUCGAUGCACCAAUACCUUUUAGGGUUUUGAUAAAAGACAUGAUAUCAUGAGUAUCAUCACCACUUCUGUUAUUCUUCUUGUAUAGUAGCGACGAGAUUGAAUCACCAUUUUUAGCUAUUCUUCAGCAGAACUCGUAAUCUAUCAAUGUGUCAGCUCAACAGCAGUUUUCUCUUCACACUAAUGUGAACCAGAGGGUCCAGCUAUCACUGAUUUUGACAUUUUUAUCUGAGAUUGCAUGUAUUGCAGAAGUUUGAAGCAGAUGAAUUAUAGGGCCAAUUACAUUUUCAUAAAGAUGUACAAAACAUAGAAUACGUCACCUAAAACAUUUCAAACUAAUUUAUACCGGACAACAGUCCUAUGCUUGGUGUUUCAUAAGCUUUCUGCUGGAAGCACUAUUAAAUAUUUGUCUGAUAAAUAACAAGAAU